CGACGAUGUAAUACCUUUUUUUUUUAACAGCCGAUGACGACGAAGUGAAAGACGAAGAACUUUGUUUGAUCGAUCUUACAAAGUUGGAAGAUGAUUAUCGAGAGGAUUCGCCGGAAGAGACCAACGCGAUCCCUUUAACCCAAUCGCAGUCUGAUUUUCCGUUUACAUCUCCUGCUCGCUGGUCUCCCUUAACGCUGGCGGGUCCGUCAACGGCCAUUCCAGGCAGAGGAGAAGGCUUGAUUGCGCCAAAGACUCCAGACAUCGAAUCCUUGCUCCGAGGGGAAAUCAUCGAAAACGACGGUGAAUGUCCGACAGGCACCCGCUGCAACAAACGCAGGAGGAAGCGUAGAUGCGCCCGCCAGCUCGACAAACAUGAUAGAAACAGAAGAAGGCUGAAACAGUACUAUCGUAUACUGGCUCGCACUCUCAUGAAGAUGGCAGACAUGAUUUGAUACAUACUGGUUUGUUAUAUCUGUUCCAUUCGAAUUAUUUUUUCUUUUUUUUUCUUUAGAGAAAUAUAAUGGGUGUAGUUCCAUCUGAAUUAGAUGUAGUUAUUGUAGAAGAUGAAGACAUUUGUAAUCAUCAUUUAGAUCCAAACAACCAGAUAGAAUGGGAACCAAACGAUGAUCCGUCUUUGCAAGAUGAUAUUAAUGUGUUAAAUUCAAACACAAACACACAAGCCUCUACACAGCAUCACGAGGUGUUGGGAGGGGCGACACCCUCGGGGGAAUGUUUGGAUUUUUCGGAGGUGGUGGGGGUCAUGCAGAACCAACCGUCAACGGCUGACCAAUCAAUUUCAAAUGAGACCCAGA
Molecule: long non-coding RNA, 812 nt
Organism: Nerophis ophidion (straightnose pipefish)
Lineage: Eukaryota; Metazoa; Chordata; Actinopteri; Syngnathiformes; Syngnathidae
Exons: 4
Source: RefSeq, a predicted model, not a curated record